UACGGAGGACGCAAGCGUUAUCCGGAUUUAUUGGGUUUAAAGGGUGCGCAGGUUGUUUGAUAAGUCAGUGGUGAAAGUCUGUCGCUUAACGGUAGGAUUGCCAUUGAUACUGUUGGACUUGAAUAUGGAUGAGGUAGGCGGAAUGUGUAGUGUAGCGGUGAAAUGCAUAGAUAUUACACAGAACACCGAUUGCGAAGGCAGCUUACUAAUCCAUCAUUGACGCUGAGGAACGAAAGCGUGGGGAUCAAACAGGAUUA
Molecule: ribosomal RNA, 257 nt
Filed under: uncultured prokaryote
Description: partial 16S ribosomal RNA
Rfam family: Bacterial small subunit ribosomal RNA
Source: RNAcentral